This 330-nucleotide ribosomal RNA is filed under the name uncultured Planctomycetales bacterium. RNAcentral's name for it is "bacterial SSU rRNA". It matches the Rfam family "Bacterial small subunit ribosomal RNA", at positions 382 to 703 of the family's 1533-position model. Lineage: Bacteria; Pseudomonadati; Planctomycetota; Planctomycetia; Planctomycetales. The record is from RNAcentral.
GGUGACGAAGCGACGCCGCGUGUGGGAUGAAGGCCUUCGGGUUGUAAACCACUGUCGGGAGUUAAGAAUUGUAGGAAUGCUAAUAGUAUUUUUACUUGACUAAGGCUCCGGAGGAAGCCACGGCUAACUCUGUGCCAGCAGCCGCGGUAAUACAGAGGCGGCAAGCGUUGUUCGGAAUUAUUGGGCGUAAAGAGCAUGUAGGCGGCUAUGUAAGUCGGUUGUGAAAGCCUUCCGCUUAACGGAAGAAUGGCGGUCGAAACUGCAUGGCUUGAGUGCGGGAGGGGAGAGUGGAACUUCUGGUGGAGCGGUGAAAUGCGUAGAUAUCAGAAG